GACGAACGCUAGCGGCAGGCUUAACACAUGCAAGUCGAACGGUAAGGCCCCUUCGGGGGUACACGAGUGGCGCACGGGUGCGUAACACGUAUGCAACCUACCCUUCAGCGGGGGAUAGUCGCGGGAAACUGCGAAUAAUACCCCAUACGAUCAUUGAUUGGCAUCGAUUGAUGAUGAAAGUUCCGGCGCUGAAGGAUGGGCAUGCGUCCCAUUAGCUAGUUGGUGAGGUAACGGCUCACCAAGGCGACGAUGGGUAGCUGGUCUGAGAGGAUGAUCAGCCACACGGGCACUGAGACACGGGCCCGACUCCUACGGGAGGCAGCAGUGAGGAAUCUUGGUCAAUGGGCGCAAGCCUGAACCAGCCAUGCCGCGUGGAGGAAGACGGCCCUCUGGGUUGUAAACUUCUUUAGCUAGGGACUAAGGCAGUGCUAUAUGCACUGUUGCAGGUACCUAGAGAAUAAGCGCCGGCUAACUACGUGCCAGCAGCCGCGGUAAUACGUAGGGCGCAAGCGUUGUCCGGAUUUAUUGGGUUUAAAGGGUGCGUAGGCGGAUAUAUAAGUUCGUGGUGAAAUCGUCCGGCUUAACCGGAUACCCGCCAUGGAUACUGUGUAUCUUGAGUGUGGAUGAGGAAGUUAGAAUGCGUGGUGUAGCGGUGAAAUGCAUAGAUAUCACGCAGAAUACCGAUUGCGAAGGCAGACUUCUGGUCCAUAACUGACGCUGAGGCACGAAAGCGUGGGUAGCGAACAGGAUUAGAUACCCUGGUAGUCCACGCUGUAAACGAUGAUCACUAGGUGUUCGGCCGUAUGGUUGAGUGCCCAAGCGAAAGCGAUAAGUGACCCACCUGGGGAGUACGUCGGCAACGAUGAAACUCAAAGGAAUUGACGGGGGCCCGCACAAGCGGUGGAGCAUGUGG
This 913-nucleotide ribosomal RNA is filed under the name uncultured bacterium. RNAcentral describes it as "bacterial SSU rRNA". It matches the Rfam family "Bacterial small subunit ribosomal RNA", at positions 28 to 944 of the family's 1533-position model. The record is from RNAcentral.